RNAcentral lists this long non-coding RNA (226 nucleotides) under Linum usitatissimum (flax). RNAcentral's name for it is "long non-coding RNA (LUSI_LNC001140)". Lineage: Eukaryota; Viridiplantae; Streptophyta; Magnoliopsida; Malpighiales; Linaceae. The record is from RNAcentral.
GGGUCAAAAAGGAGAAGGAAGAAGAGAUUCGGAAGAUGUCAAAGAAAAAGGAAGUUGAGCUACGGGCGCUUAAAAAUAAAAAUGUCGACGAAACAGAAAAAAAAUCGAGACGAAUCGAAGAGCUCGAAAAAACGGUAGAGGAGAUGGAGGUAGCAAACGUGGCGAGGGAUGAAGAGUUGCAAAAUUUGAAGAAGGGGAAGAAUGAAGAGCUUCAGAAGGCGUUGAG